GGGUUGUGAGGUUAAGCGACUAAGCGUACACGGUGGAUGCCCUGGCAGUCAGAGGCGAUGAAGGGCGUGCUAAUCUGCGAUAAGCGCCGGUAAGGUGAUAUGAACCGUUAUAACCGGCGAUACCCGAAUGGGGAAACCCAGUGUGAUUCGUCACACUAUCAUUAACUGAAUCCAUAGGUUAAUGAGGCGAACCGGGGGAACUGAAACAUCUAAGUACCCCGAGGAAAAGAAAUCAACCGAGAUUCCCCCAGUAGCGGCGAGCGAACGGGGAGGAGCCCAGAGCCUGAAUCAGCAUGUGUGUUAGUGGAAGCGUCUGGAAAGGCGCGCGAUACAGGGUGACAGCCCCGUACACAAAAGCGCAUGUGCUGUGAGCUCGAUGAGUAGGGCGGGACACGUGGUAUCCUGUCUGAAUAUGGGGGGACCAUCCUCCAAGGCUAAAUACUCCUGAUUGACCGAUAGUGAACCAGUACCGUGAGGGAAAGGCGAAAAGAACCCCGGCGAGGGGAGUGAAAAAGAACCUGAAACCGUGUACGUACAAGCAGUGGGAGC
RNAcentral lists this ribosomal RNA (549 nucleotides) under Salmonella enterica subsp. enterica. Its description in RNAcentral is "bacterial LSU rRNA". It matches the Rfam family "Bacterial large subunit ribosomal RNA", at positions 1 to 580 of the family's 2925-position model. The record is from RNAcentral. Lineage: Bacteria; Pseudomonadati; Pseudomonadota; Gammaproteobacteria; Enterobacterales; Enterobacteriaceae.